UUAAAAAGCUCGUAGUCGGAUUUUGGCUGAGAACGGUCGGUCCGCCGUUAGGUGUGCACUGACUGGUCUCAGCUUCCUGGUGAGGAGGUGUGCUUCAUCGCCACUUAGUCACCGUGGUUACUUUGAAAAAAUUAGAGUGUUCAAAGCGGGCUUACGCUUGAAUAUAUUAGCAUGGAAUAACACCAUAGGACUCCUGUCCUAUUUCGUUGGUCUCGGGACGGGAGUAAUGAUUAAGAGGAACAGUUGGGGGCAUUCGUAUUUCAUUGUCAGAGGUGAAAUUCUUGGAUUUAUGAAAGACGAACUUCUGCGAAAGCAUUUGCCAAGGAUGUUUUCAUUGAUCAAGAACGAAAGUUGGGGGCUCGAAGAUGAUUAGAUACCAUCCUAGUCUCAACCAUAAACGAUGCCGACUAGGGAUUGGCGGAUGUUAAUUGAUGACUUCGCCAGCACCUUAUGAGAAAUCAAAGUUUUUGGGUUCCGGGGGGAGUAUGGUCGCAAGGCUGAAACUUAAAGGAAUUGACGGAAGGGCACCACCUGGCGUGGAGCCUGCGGCUUAAUUUGACUCAACACGGGGAAACUUACCAGGUCCAGACAUAGUAAGGAUUGACAGAUUGAGAGCUCUUUCU
Molecule: ribosomal RNA, 623 nt
Filed under: uncultured marine eukaryote
Lineage: Eukaryota
Description: SSU rRNA
Rfam family: Eukaryotic small subunit ribosomal RNA
Source: RNAcentral